CUCUCCAUCUAUUUCUCUCUCCCUCUCUGCCUCUCUCUCACUCUGCCUCUCCAUCUAUUUCUCUCUCCCUCUCUGCCUCUCUCUCACUCUGCCUCUCCAUCUAUUUCUCUCUCCCUCUCUGCCUCUCUCUCUGCUCUGCCUCUCCAUCUAUUUCUCUCUCCCUCUCUGCCUCUCUCUCACUCUGCCUCUCCAUCUAUUUCUCUCUCCCUCUCUGCCUCUCUCUCACUCUGCCGCUCCAUCUAUUUCUCUCUCCCUCUCUGCCUCUCUCUCACUCUGCCGCUCCAUCUAUUUCUCUCUCACUCUCUGCCUCUCCCUCACUCUGCCUCUCCAUCUAUUUCUCUCUCUUGCUCUCUGCCUCUCUCUCUGCUCGGCCUCCCUCUCUCUCACUCUGCCUCUCCAUCUAUUUCUCUCUCUUGCUCUCUGCCUCUCUCUCUGCUCUGCCUCUCUCUCUCUCUGUCUGUCUCGCUCUGUAUUCAAGGAGCUAGGCUUCCGGCUAUCUCAUAUAUCCUUGCUCCUGUUCUCAUUCCACAGUGUCAUAAUUACAUCAGGGUAACAAAGAGAUGCAUUUUGGGACUUCGGGGCAGAUCUGAGGGCAAAACAGUCACUGGUAAUUUAAUGCCAGCUUUAUACAAGAUGGCAAAUGGUGGCUUUGUAGCCCAAGUAAUUAUCCGUAGGGUGAGAUAAAAUGGCAACAGAGAGAGAUGGAGUUUUCUGUUUAGAUCAACUAGGAGUUUAAAAAAAACAUGCAAUUCAGAGUUCUGUGUUAUCUGUUUGUUUUGAGCUUCAUACACAACCAUCUCUUCCCACAUUUAGAUUCAAUCAGUUCAAGCGUUAACUGGCGAUAGCAGACACCUGCGUAGCGGAUGUUUUGGCGGUGUUGGACGUGGAACUGCGUUGUAGCCGUCAGAUAGGUGAGCAGCUGUGGUCAUUGUCACGAAGCCACACCUGCCCCACUCCAGAUAGAGGUUCAGAACGAGAAAGUGUAGGCUAUAUACUGUAGAAAUAAUUACACUCAAAUUGAAAAAUAAUUGUAUGAAAUAAUGAGGAUUUCUAUCAACCUUAUCUAGGUGUAGAUUUCAUCUCAUAUUCCAGUUUUUGAAUUUGUAAAGAAGGCUGCAUGGGAUUUCUGUUAAUGUGACUCCGUGCAGCAAUGGCAAUGUCCGCUUUAGGUGUAAUGCAGCCAAUGGCAAUGUCCGCUUUAGAUGUAAUGCAGCCAAUGGCAAUGUCCGCUUUAGGUGUAAUGCAACCAAUGGCAAUGUCCGCUUUAGAUGUAAUGCAGCCAAUGGCAAUGUCCGCUUUAGGUGUAAUGCAACCAAUGGCAAUGUCCGCUUUAGAUGUAAUGCAGCCAAUGGCAAUGUCCGCUUUAGGUGUAAUGCAACCAAUGGCAAUGUCCGCUUUAGGUGUAAUGCAACCAAUGGCAAUGUCCGCUUUAGGUGUAAUGCAACCAAUGGCAAUGUCCGCUUUAGGUGUAAUGCAACCAAUGGCAAUGUCCGCUUUAGGUGUAAUGCAGCCAAUGGCAAUGUCCGCUUUAGGUGUAAUGCCAGGAGACACUUGGGAUUUCAAAUCAAAUCUAAUCCAAUUUUACUUGUCAGAUGCGCCGAAUACAACAAGUGUAGACCUUACCGUGAAAUGCUUUCUUAACAAGCCCUUAACCAACAGUGCAGUUCAAGAAAUAGAGUUGAGAAACGAUUUACUAAAUAAACUAAAGUGAAAAAAACAACAACAAGCAAACGUCAAAAAAAUCAAAAAAGUAACAAGAAAAUGACAUGACAAUAAUGAGGCUAUAUACAGGGGGUACAGUCAAUGUGCGGGGGUACAGGUUAGUCCAGGUCACUUGUAAAGUGACUAUGAAUAGAUCAUUAACAGUGAGUA
Long non-coding RNA from Oncorhynchus keta (chum salmon), 1872 nucleotides. RefSeq lists it as uncharacterized. The record is from RefSeq and is a predicted model, not a curated record. The transcript is spliced from 3 exons. Lineage: Eukaryota; Metazoa; Chordata; Actinopteri; Salmoniformes; Salmonidae.